RNAcentral lists this long non-coding RNA (201 nucleotides) under Parus major (Great Tit). RNAcentral's name for it is "lncRNA (ENSPMJG00000014581.1)". The record is from RNAcentral. Lineage: Eukaryota; Metazoa; Chordata; Aves; Passeriformes; Paridae.
AAUGACCUGAUGGAUGAGACUCCUAACUGCAGAUCACAGCUUUCUCUAUUGUGCAGCAAGGAUAAGCUACUUCCAUAUGUUGGAGAAAGAGCAAAGUGGGAUUACACUGAAGGAAGACAUUCUUUGGAUUAUUUAGAGCUUCUAAAAUACAGAACAGAAAACACUAAGAAAAAGAGAUUAAGCUCUCAGUUGGACAUAUAG